Long non-coding RNA from Beta vulgaris subsp. vulgaris (sugar beet), 1060 nucleotides. RefSeq lists it as uncharacterized. NCBI's taxonomy places the organism in Eukaryota, Viridiplantae, Streptophyta, Magnoliopsida, Caryophyllales, Amaranthaceae. The record is from RefSeq and is a predicted model, not a curated record. The transcript has 2 exons.
GUCCUAAAAUUUUUCGAUAUUAUUCUGGUUAAAGUUAUUUUCUAAAAUAAGUAUAUAUACUUUAGUUAUACAAAAAUGAUAUUUAUUAUGACAAAAGAUUAUAUAAUAUAGUUUAUGAAUUUAAUAAGAAAAUUCUAUAUUUUUACUAUAUGAUUUUUAGUUGAGAUCCAAUGUUGAAGUAUAUGAGUCAAAAUUAACUUAAAAACUUGAAAAUAGUCAAGGUUUGACAUUUUGACAUCCAAAAUAAGGAAGAAAAAGAAAUGAAGAAAGCUGAUGUUCAGCUUCCCCAAACCAACACAACCGACCACCCCCACCACUCUUCUUCUUUCUUCUCUACUAUUGUCUUCCACCAUGCUCCCCAAGGUGUUGAACCACCAAUCCUCAAUAAAGCCACCUCCAUUUUGUCUCCUAAAUUCAGCUAUAAAUAACCAUGAAUUGAGUAUUGAGAUAUCAAAACAAAACCAACAAAGUUUCUUAUUUUUCUUCUCUGUUCCUAUGUUGUGCUCGGCCUGUUGUGCCACCAUAACCAUCACCAGCACACCACCGGUGCGCCGCCCAGAUGCGAUGCACCAUUGCAGCUUUGCUGCACCUCCCAGGACCCCUUCUUUCUUCACUCGCCUCCUUCGCUUCGACUGGGCUACUGCUGCUCAUUCGUCCCUUUUGCUCGGUUCUCCACCAAGGAACACCGUCGACAUUAUGUCGCGUGCCUGAUACCUACUCUCGCCGGAGUUCUAUUUUCCCCUGCUCUCUCUCUCCUCUACUACGUUCGAUGCUGUUUUCGCUGCUCACCGGAGUUUGAAGGUCGACGAACACCACCGGGAUUCUGCUGACGAUUAAGAAUUUGAUUCUUCAAGAUUGAAGAUCUAGAAAUGUAGUUAUUUUAUUUAGAAUUUUUUUUAUUUUUUUUUGUUUAAGAUUUAUCAUAUUUUAAUUGUAUUAGUUGUAUUUGAUUUUAAGUAUAUCAGAUUUUUUUUAUUAUAUCUAUCAAAGUUAUUGUAUUAUUUUUGGAAGCACAUAUGUAAUGUUUUACAAAUUGAUAAAUGAAAUGUUUACUUUAUUA